AUGACCCCUACAACCCCAUCAGGAGGGGAUCCCAGGCAGCCUUCUAUCACUUGUACUAAUCAGCUGUUGAAUAAAAACAUCACCUGGGGGAGUACAGCAGUGAGUUCCUUAUUUCAAACUGACAUAGGAAUGGCUGCUGAGGAACGGUCAUCAGGAGGCUCUUCACCAUCAGAGGCCCUGGAAGUCACUGAACAAUUUGGAAGUGUGACAGUGGAGAGACACGUGCCCAGGAUUAACUGCCCUGAACACAUUAUCUUGGUGGUUGAUGUGUGCAGAGAAGAUGGAAAUACCUCGUACAAGCUGGCUGAUGGUUCAAAGUUUUCAUCCUUGUACAUGGUGAAGCGAGCCAUCACUCUCUUCCUCCAGAACAAACAUGCAAUAGAUUCCAGGCACAAGUUUGCCUUAGUGGUGCUUCAUGAGUCACCAAUAUGGCUGCACGACUUCACAAAUAACCCAAGGGAGAUAAUGUCAGAGCUAGAUGAAUUAGAAGAUGCUGUAGCCACAAGUCGUUGUGAUCUGAGUCUUUUGUUUGACCUUAUUGCACGCCAGAUCUCUCUACCUCAGUGUUCCAACCCAGCAGUUGCUCCUCCCCCAUGUGUCUUCCGAACUAUUGUGUUUUAUGGAAGGUCACAGUGCCUGCCACAGUUUCUUGGGGGUAAAGCUGUGUUUACACACCUCAUUCAGAGCCCACAUUUUUUCCUAGAUGUUUUAUAUAUGCAUGAGGCUCCUUCAGAUGAAAACAAAUGUGAGAGACGCAACACGACACGUUAUUAGAUGCCUUCAGGUGCUGAGUAGGGAGCAGCUUGUAUUAGAAGUGCCAUUUGACUUUGGACUCUGUUUGAAAGGUAUAUUUGACCUCCUGUGUGGCUUGGACGAGAGUGGCUGGAGUUACGUUCUUGAAGUGUCCCGUAAUGCAACCAAGCUCCACAACCACUGUGGGAGUCUUCUGGCACACCCACUUCAACGUCCUACACAGAAGGAUGU
Molecule: unclassified non-coding RNA, 984 nt
Filed under: Homarus americanus (American lobster)
Lineage: Eukaryota; Metazoa; Arthropoda; Malacostraca; Decapoda; Nephropidae
Description: bRISC and BRCA1-A complex member 1-like, transcript variant X2
Source: RNAcentral